Molecule: RNA transcript, 6220 nt
Organism: Macaca mulatta (Rhesus monkey)
Lineage: Eukaryota; Metazoa; Chordata; Mammalia; Primates; Cercopithecidae
Gene: BRPF3
Gene name: bromodomain and PHD finger containing 3
Source: RefSeq, a predicted model, not a curated record
UCCUUGAGGGCAGGGAUCAUGUGUGUUUGAUUUCUCCUUUCAUUCAACUAAUACUUAUUGAGUGUUUACUUAGGAGCUAAGCACUGCUCCAGGAACUGGGGAUACAGCAGUGAACAAGACAAACAAAAAUUCUUCCCCUCAUGGGGCUUACAUUCUAGUGGAAGGAAGGAAACAAUAAACGUAGUAGUAGGUAAAUUAUGUAGCAUGGUAUAAGAUGAUGAGUGUUAAAGGGAAAAAUAAAGCAGAAUGAAAGGUAGAUUGCUGGUGGAGGAAAAGGAUUUGCAAUUUUAGAUAAAGUGGUCAGAGAAGGUCUCACUGAGUAGUGUUGUUCACUUGAAGAAGUGAAAGACUCAAAGGAGGUGAAGGAGCAAGCCAUAUGGAUGCCUGAGGGGCAGGUUGUUCAGACAGAGGGAAAAGCCAGUCCUCUUGGUGGAUGCUUGAUCAUAUAGGAGGAUGAAUGGGUGCAUAAGGGCAUCCAAAUCAUAGUCUCCUGGCCUUCUCUCCUUAGGCCUGUCCUCUCAGUCCCCAGGUGCCAUGAGGAAGCCUCGUCGGAAGUCCCGGCAGAAUGCCGAGGGCCGGCGUUCCCCGUCCCCCUACAGUCUGAAGUGCUCACCCACCCGGGAGACCCUAACAUAUGCCCAGGCCCAGCGGAUUGUCGAGGUAGACAUUGAUGGACGCCUGCAUCGUAUCAGCAUCUAUGACCCACUCAAAAUCAUCACUGAGGAUGAGCUAACUGCCCAGGAUAUCACUGAAUGCAAUAGUAACAAGGAAAACAGUGAACAGCCUCAGUUCCCUGGCAAGUCCAAGAAACCCUCAUCCAAGGGCAAAAAGAAAGAAUCCUGCUCCAAGCAUGCAUCUGGUACUUCCUUCCACCUCCCACAGCCUAGCUUCCGGAUGGUGGACUCAGGCAUCCAGCCAGAAGCACCCCCGCUGCCUGCUGCCUACUAUCGCUACAUUGAGAAGCCACCUGAAGACCUGGAUGCAGAGGUAGAGUAUGACAUGGAUGAGGAGGACCUUGCCUGGCUGGACAUGGUGAAUGAAAAGCGGCGAGUAGAUGGGCACAGUUUGGUGUCUGCAGACACCUUUGAGCUACUGGUAGACCGGCUUGAGAAAGAGUCAUACUUGGAGAGUCGCAGCAGUGGGGCCCAACAGUCACUCAUCGAUGAAGACGCUUUCUGCUGUGUGUGCCUGGAUGAUGAAUGUCACAAUAGCAACGUUAUUCUCUUCUGUGACAUCUGCAACCUGGCAGUACACCAGGAGUGCUAUGGCGUCCCCUACAUCCCUGAGGGUCAGUGGCUAUGCCGCUGCUGCCUGCAGUCUCCCUCCCGGCCUGUGGAUUGCGUCCUUUGCCCCAAUAAGGGUGGCGCCUUCAAACAGACCAGUGAUGGGCACUGGGCCCAUGUGGUGUGUGCCAUCUGGAUCCCUGAAGUCUGCUUUGCUAACACCGUGUUCUUGGAACCUAUUGAGGGCAUUGACAAUAUCCCACCUGCCCGCUGGAAACUAACCUGCUAUAUCUGCAAGCAGAAGGGGCUAGGUGCAGCCAUCCAGUGCCAUAAAGUGAACUGCUACACAGCAUUCCACGUGACAUGUGCACAGCGGGCUGGGCUCUUCAUGAAGAUUGAGCCCAUGCGCGAAACCAGCCUCAAUGGCACCAUCUUUACAGUGCGCAAGACUGCCUACUGUGAGGCCCACUCACCACCAAGUACUGCCACUGCUCGGAGGAAGGGCGACUCCCCUAGAAGCAUCAGUGAGACUGGCGAUGAGGAAGGGCUAAAGGAGGGUGAUGGAGAGGAGGAAGAAGAGGAAGAAGUGGAGGAAGAGGAGCAGGAAGGCCAAGGCGGGGUGAGUGGCCCCCUCAAGGGAGUGCCCAAGAAGAACAAGAUGAGUUUGAAGCAGAAGAUCAAGAAGGAGCCAGAGGAAGCAGGCCAAGACACACCCUCCACUCUCCCCCUGGUCACUGUGCCACAGAUACCCUCUUACAGGUUGAACAAGAUCUGUAGUGGUCUCUCCUUUCAGAGGAAAAACCAGUUUAUGCAGCGGCUUCACAACUAUUGGCUGUUGAAGCGGCAGGCACGGAAUGGUGUCCCUCUUAUCCGGCGCCUGCACUCCCAUCUGCAGUCCCAAAGAAAUGCUGAGCAGCGAGAGCAAGAUGAGAAGACAAGUGCAGUGAAGGAAGAGCUGAAGUAUUGGCAGAAGCUCCGGCAUGACUUGGAGCGGGCGCGGCUGCUGAUUGAGCUGAUUCGGAAGAGAGAGAAGCUCAAACGGGAGCAGGUCAAAGUCCAGCAGGCUGCCAUGGAGCUGGAGUUGAUGCCAUUCAAUGUUCUGUUGAGGACAACACUGGACCUGCUGCAGGAGAAGGAUCCUGCACACAUCUUCGCAGAACCAGUCAACUUGAGUGAGGUUCCAGAUUACCUGGAAUUCAUAUCCAAGCCAAUGGAUUUUUCUACUAUGAGGCGGAAGCUGGAGUCCCACCUGUACCGCACCUUGGAGGAGUUUGAGGAGGACUUUAACCUUAUAGUUACCAACUGCAUGAAGUAUAAUGCUAAAGACACAAUUUUCCACCGAGCAGCUGUCCGCCUGCGGGACCUGGGAGGGGCCAUCCUACGGCAUGCCCGGCGGCAGGCAGAGAACAUCGGCUAUGACCCCGAGAGGGGCACUCACCUGCCCGAGUCACCCAAAUUGGAAGACUUUUACCGCUUCUCCUGGGAAGACGUGGACAACAUCCUCAUCCCAGAGAACCGGGCCCAUUUGUCCCCAGAGGUGCAGCUGAAGGAGCUGCUGGAGAAACUGGACCUGGUGAGCGCCAUGCGGUCCAGUGGGGCCCGCACCCGCCGUGUCCGCCUGCUACGCCGGGAGAUCAAUGCCCUUCGGCAGAAGCUGGCACAGCCACCACCACCACAGCCACCAUCACUGAACAAGACAGUAUCCAAUGGGGAGCUGCCAGCAGGGCCCCAGGGGGAUGCAGCUGUGCUGGAGCAGGCCUUGCAGGAGGAGCCAGAAGACGAUGGGGACAGAGAUGACUCCAAACUGCCUCCUCCACCAACCCUGGAGCCCACUGGGCCUGCACCUUCCUUGUCUGAGCAAGAAUCCCCGCCGGAGCCCCCAACUCUGAAACCCAUCAAUGAUAGCAAACCUCCAAGCCGGUUCCUAAAGCCCAGAAAGGUGGAAGAAGAUGAGCUCUUGGAAAAAUCACCGCUGCAGCUAGGGAGUGAGCCUUUGCAACGCUUGCUCAGUGACAAUGGCAUCAACAGACUAUCCCUCAUGGCCCCUGACACCCCGGGCGGUACCCCACUUAGUGGUGUGGGUCGCCGCACAUCAGUCCUCUUCAAGAAGGCCAAGAAUGGGGUUAAGCUACAGAGAAGCCCAGACAGGGCCCUGGAGAAUGGCGAGGACCAUGGUGUGGCAGGCUCUCCUGCCUCUCCAGCCAGCAUCGAGGAUGAGCGCCACUCCCGGAAGCGGCCAAGGAGCGGGAGCUGUAGUGAGAGCGAAGGGGAGAGGUCCCCCCAGCAGGAGGAAGAGACAGGCAUGACCAACGGCUUUGGAAAACACACCGAAAGCGGGUCUGACUCGGAAUGUAGUUUGGGUCUCAGUGGUGGACUGGCAUUUGAAGCUUGCAGGCAGAAGCCUCCUGCUGCCCUUUGAAGACCGCGGAGACCUGGAGCCCUUGGAGCUGGUGUGGGCCAAGUGCCGAGGCUACCCCUCCUACCCUGCCUUGAUCAUCGAUCCCAAGAUGCCCCGGGAGGGCCUCCUGCACAAUGGCGUUCCCAUCCCUGUCCCCCCGCUGGACGUGCUGAAGCUGGGAGAGCAGAAACAGGCAGAGGCUGGAGAGAAGCUCUUCCUUGUCCUCUUCUUUGACAACAAGCGCACCUGGCAGUGGCUUCCAAGGGACAAAGUCCUGCCCUUGGGUGUGGAAGACACCGUGGACAAGCUCAAGAUGCUGGAAGGCCGCAAGACCAGCAUCCGCAAGUCAGUGCAGGUGGCCUAUGACCGUGCGAUGAUCCACCUGAGCAGAGUCCGGGGGCCCCACUCCUUCGUCACUUCCAGCUACCUGUGAGGGCGGGGCUGGGCCUGCAUCUGCUUGCCCUGCCUCCGUCCCGCGGGGCACAGAGAAUCCUCUUCUGCCCCUGCCAGAUGUAUGGCCGGCAGCUUCCCCCUCUAUGGUAGGCCAGGGACUGGGCUUCCUCCCCACUAGGGGCAAGGCCCCAGUUUUGACCAAUUGCAUGGUUCUCCUGGCAGGCCUGCUGUGUGCCAAAAACUCCCACCCAAGAUCCCUCAGGGGAUUUUUUACUGAAGAACCAGUUAGAAGUAGAAAGAGCUGUGGGGCUUGGGCCCAACUUAGGAGAUGGACCCCACCCAGAUGGCAAGAGGUCCUGGGCUCCUUCUUGAGGGGCUGCCUGGCCCCCUCCAUCCUGCUCCCAUUAACUACACCUCAGGGCGGGUGAGGUUCUGACACUGAUCCCAGAGAUGCUGUGGAUAUGCCAGGGUCCCAAGGGGAAUCUCCCCAAGCUCACUGUCUCUCCCGCUUAUCGCCCAUUCUCACACCUCUUCCCUGUCCCAUCUUCUGUACCCAUUGCUCACCUUUUCUUUUUCUCUUGUGCCAAACUGACAGAAACCGUCACCACACUGGUCCUUUUCUGUAAUGUCUCAUUCCCCUUGAGGCCAGCUGCUAUGCCAGGUGGUGUCUCUGCCAGGCUCCUCAGGGCCCAGACAGAGGCCAGCCCACAACCUGUGACCCCCUCCCCCAGGACAUCACCUCCCACCCACAGACCUUCCCUUUUGCUGUCGACACAACUUCCCAGCUCUGCGAGUGUGCCCCCUGGAUCAAGGCGGGUCCCCUCUUGUUUUCCUUUGCUGCCACGAGGUGGUCCAAGCCUCCAGAGUAGGCUCCUGUCAGGCUGGGUGUGCGAGUGUCCAUCUGUCCACGUGGACGUCGAGGGUGGUUGGGAUGGAGCUGUGCCCGUCAGUGGGGUCUGCCCUCUCCCCCCUUUUCUCCUCUCUUCUCUCCUCAUGGACUUUUUCUGCAAUUGCAGUCUUAAGCUUCACUCUCCACCACCCGGAUGGCAUGGCGCCUGCCACCAAACAUCUUCCUGGCCUGCACUCUGCCCUGCCCUGCCUAGCCUCUGCUAUUCCUACUUCCCAACUUCAGGGAAUGCAUUACUUUUAUUUCAAACUCUCUGCCUCCUUCCUUCUUUCUCUUCAACCCCCUCCCCACCUUCACCUUCUCAAAAAUGGAAGGAAAAAAACUGUGAACGGGGAAUGCUGACUGACAAACCAACACAACUUUCAGAGGCUUCAGUGUCUGUUCUCUAGACAUUUCUUUUCACCUCCUGAGCACCAAAGUCGCAGGGCCAGUUGCAGGCUGCUGAUUGCCAUGUUGAUUUUUAACCUGAUAUUCUUUUUAAUUGUUUUAAAUUUUUCAUAGGGGAGUUUUGGACAAAACAAAGUCACUGGGGAGAUCACUGCCAUUUUUACACACUUGACUUUUUAAAAAUACAGCCAACCAACCACCACAACUUCUUAUACAUUUGGGACAUGAGCCAGAGUUUAAAAGGGAACCAACAAAACACUAUAACUUAAAAGGAUGGGGUUUUGGAUUUUGUAUAAUAAUAAAAACAAUACAGCAUAUGGCUAGGGAAGGACAUGGUGUAUAUAAUUGUAAAAUACUGUUCUAAAUUAUUCAGGCCUAUAGUUUCCAUUAUUGGAGUCCUCCAUUGUGUGGCCACACAGUGUCGUUGAUUUAAAGGAGCCAGUGCUUCCCCUCUCCCCAGGUAGUUGGUCAGCUGUGGACUCUGUGACCUUUGUCUAAACCUGUGUUGUAAGAUCUUGGGACUUUCUCCCUCUCUUUCUAUGUCUAUCUCUUCCCCCCAACACUUUCUCUUCUUAGUCUCUCUUUAUUUUUCAAUCUCUGAAUCUUUUAGUCUCUCUCUCUGAGUCUCAUUUUUUAAAAUGCUCUUUUAGAAUGGGAAACGGCUCAGAUCCUGCUGUGGCAUGGGGCCUAUGUGUCUCUGUCGCGUCUGCUGUGAAGCACAUGAUGCUCUAUUUAUUGUAGAAAGUGACUUUAUUUGCUUUCUAGAAUUGUUUAUAACAGAUGGUAUAAGAGAGGUAAUAAACAGAGAAAAAUCUAUGCUUGUAAAGAAUACAAAAGUUAAUUUUACCUACUAUAAUAUGACUGUCUGAAACUUAUUUUCUCUCUGAGAAAUAAAUGUUCUAAUGGGCAGUA